UACGUAGGGAGCAAGCGUUGUCCGGAAUCAUUGGGCGUAAAGCGCGCGUAGGUGGCUUCGUAAGUCCGUUGUGAAAGUCAAAGGCUCAACCUUUGAAAGCCGAUGGAUACUGCGGAGCUAGAGUACGGAAGAGGCGAGUGGAAUUCCUGGUGUAGCGGUGGAAUGCGCAGAUAUCUGGAGGAACACCGGUGGCGAAGGCGGCAUCCUGGACCGGUAUUGACGCUGAGGCGCGAAAGCUAGGGGAGCAAACGGG
RNAcentral lists this ribosomal RNA (253 nucleotides) under uncultured bacterium. RNAcentral's name for it is "partial 16S ribosomal RNA". It matches the Rfam family "Bacterial small subunit ribosomal RNA", at positions 524 to 776 of the family's 1533-position model. The record is from RNAcentral.